RNAcentral lists this small nuclear RNA (21 nucleotides) under Arabidopsis thaliana (thale cress). RNAcentral's name for it is "snRNA_09339". Lineage: Eukaryota; Viridiplantae; Streptophyta; Magnoliopsida; Brassicales; Brassicaceae. The record is from RNAcentral.
GGAAAUAGAAGAGGUCCUGUA